GAGUGCGUAGUCCCAAGCAUUGCCUGGAGUGGGUAUUCCGGAGCACGGUAGUGUGGAGCAUGGAAGUUUGCGGUUUGGGACACAGCCAAUCUCUCUCCUGGCUGGCUCGCCAAAUGAUUUCCUCUGUAACAAGUGUUUCAAUGCUAACACCGUUACUAGAAUGGAUAAAAUCAGGUAAGUAUGGACCAGAUCAGAAGACAACAGAUUCAACUCGAGAGAGAGGCGGUUUGCACAUCAAGAAUGAAGCACAUGGAAGCAGGAUCUAUAUUUCAAAGGUCGAUCACAUGGGUGGCUCGCCAGUCCGCGCGCCGCUGUAGCUCUCCGGGGAAGGCAAGCAGGGGCAGACGAAUCCAGGAUCCAGCACAGCAGUUCAAAUCGAACAACAACCAAAAACCAACACACACAAAAAGAAAAACCCGGCCUUGCAACACAAAGCCAAAAGACUCAUCAGUAGUCUGUACAUUCAGAUUAUUAAGACAUAGUAUACACUGUGAACAUCUAAAUUGUAUAACACUUGCAACUUCCCAUUUACUCUGUUAAAUAAACUUGGUGAAAGCCCAUA
This is a long non-coding RNA of Anguilla anguilla (European eel), 562 nucleotides long. RefSeq lists it as uncharacterized. NCBI's taxonomy places the organism in Eukaryota, Metazoa, Chordata, Actinopteri, Anguilliformes, Anguillidae. The record is from RefSeq and is a predicted model, not a curated record. The transcript is spliced from 2 exons.